UGACCCCGAGACCGAUAGCAAACAAGUACGGUGACGGAAGAUUGAAAAGAACUUUGAAGAGAGAGUUCAAUAGUACGUGAAACUGUGUGGUGGUAAACGGAGGGGUUCUCGAAGUUUCUGUGGGGAACUCAGCCUUGGUGUCGCGUGGCCCUGUUGUAUCUGAUCAGCAAUGACAGUGCAGCUUGUCCGACGUGUCUCUCGGGUGCAUUUCCCCCGCAGUUUACGGCAGGAACUGUUUGGAGCGCACCGAAGGCCUCGGGUGAAGUUGUUGGUUCUGCUAGCAGCCCUGGGUGUCCUGGCUUCGCACCAGACAGGUACGUGAGAGGACUCGUAUAGCGAGCAAUGCUCUGUUGCGGUUCUCAUCUCUCUGCCGAGUAGGUCGGCGGCCCCUCCGACCCGUCUUGAAACACGGACCAAGGAGUCUAACAUGUAUGCGAGCCAUUGAGUUGACUAAACUUAGAGGCGCAGUGAAAGCAAAGAGUAGCUUGUCUGCUCGAGGGACGAUCCGUAAGGCGCAGUCCCGCGACUUCCAAUCGACCUCGCAUCGUUGGGAGUACGCAGAGCAUAAAUGUUGGGACCCGAAAGAUGGUGAACUAUGCCUGGCCAGGUUGAAGUCAGGGGAAACCCUGAUGGAGGACCGUAGCGAUUCUGACGUGCAAAUCGAUCGUCGGAGCUGGGCAUAGGGGCGAAAGACUAAUCGAACCAUCUAGUAGCUGGUUCCUGCCGAAGUUUCCCUCAGGAUAGCUGGUGCUCAUUACGAGUUUCAUCCGGUAAAGAGAAUGAUUAGAAGCCUUGGGGGCGAAACGCCCUCAACUUAUUCUCAAACUUUAAAUGGGUGAGAAGUCUGUCUUGCUUGAGUGAAGUCAGACACUGAAUCGGAGUGCCUAGUGGGCCAUUUUUGGUAAGCAGAACUGGCGCUGUGGGAUGAACCAAACGCGGGGUUAAAGUGCCAAAGUAGAAGCUCAUCAGAUCCCACGAAAGGUGUUGGUUGCUUAUAACAGCAGGACGGUGGCCAUGGAAGUCGGAAUCCGCUAAGGAGUGUGUAACAACUCACCUGCCGAAGCAACUAGCCCUGAAAAUGGAUGGCGCUAAAGCUUCUCACUUAUACCCCGCCGUUCAGUUAGAACCGAGCUUCUAGCUCUUGACAACUGAACGAGUAGGCAGGUCGCACCGGUGGCGCGGAAGGCUCUGGGUGUGAACCUGGCUGGAGCCGCCGGUGGUGCAGAUCUUGGUGGUAGUAGCAAAUACUCCAGAGAGGCCCUGGAGGACCGAUGUGGAGAAGGGUUUCGUGUGAACAGCUGUUGGACACGAGUCAGUCGAUCCUAAGGCUUAGGGGAAACCUUAUACAAUAGAGCGGUGUUUUCUUAUUGAAGACCGCAUCUACAGCCGAAAGGGAAUGAGGUCCUUAUUCCUCAACCUGAUAGCGGAACCGAUCCGGCCCUCGUACCGACACGGCAACGUGAAAUGAGCCUGAGACGUCCGCCCGAGCUCUGGGAAGAGUUGUCUUUUCUGCAUAAGCCGCCGAGGCCCUGGAAUUCCUUCGAGGAGAGAAUGGGUUUUGGUCUAGGCAAAGAGCGCAGCAGUUCUCGCUGUGUCCAUGAGUGACGGGUGGAACCUUGAAAAUCAGGCUGAGGGUUACGGCGGAGUCGCAUCAGCUCGUACCCAUAUCCGCAGCAGGUCUCCUAGGUGAAUAGCCUCUGGUCGAUAGAAUAAUGUAGGUAAGGGAAGUCGGCAAAUUGGAUCCGUAACUUCGGGAUAAGGAUUGGCUCUGAGGGUCGGGGUGUUUGGGCUUUGUGCUGGAAGCGGGUUGGCCUACCGGUGGGCCUGGCCGAACCCUUGGGUGAAGUCGGUCCCGUUUCACAGGCUCCCGUGGAUAGCCAUUGCUUUGCGGGCCCGGGCAACCGGUGUCUCGUUCAAACAUCGAUCAACGACUAACUCAGAACUGGCACGGACUAGGGGAAUCCGACUGUCUAAUUAAAACAAAGCAUUGCGAUGGUCAGAGAUUGAUGUUGACGCAAUGUGAUUUCUGCCCAGUGCUCUGAAUGUCAAAGUGAAGAGGUUCGUCCAAGCGCGGGUAAACGGCGGGAGUAACUAUGACUCUCUUAAGGUAGCCAAAUGCCUCGCCAUCUAAUUAGUGGCGCGCAUGAAUGGAUUAACGAGAUUCCCACUGUCCCUAUCUACUAUCUAGCGAAACCGCAGCCAAGGGAACGGACUUGGGAAGAUCAGCGGGGAAAGAAG
This 2238-nucleotide ribosomal RNA is filed under the name marine metagenome. RNAcentral's name for it is "eukaryotic LSU rRNA". It matches the Rfam family "Eukaryotic large subunit ribosomal RNA", at positions 323 to 2409 of the family's 3401-position model. The record is from RNAcentral.